CGUCAACGGAGAAGGACGGUCAAGACGAAGCGCCGACGUCGUUUUUUCCCGCAUCAGCAAAGCCGGAAUGAAAACUUCGGCUUCCAUCUUCUCCCUCCUCCUCCUCCUGCUAACCCAAAUCCAACGUUCCAAUCUCGUUUUCUAGGGUUUCGGUUCCUGUUGCAUCUUGAAGGAUCUGGUAUUCACCUGAUCAAUCGAGCCUCCAUAGCUAAAACAUCCCGUCUAGUCUCGAAAAACCCUAACGGAACUUCUUUGCGCCCGCCCCGAGACAUGCCUGCCGCCCCGGCCGCCGAUGGCGACGGCGGCUUGAAGAAAUUGGAGUACCUGUCUCUGGUCUCCAAGGUGUGCUCCGAGCUCGAGACUCACCUAGGCUUCGGCGACAAGGUGCUCGCCGAAUUCAUCACCGAGCUGGGCCGGAACUGCGAGACGGUCGACGAAUUCGAUGCCAAGCUCAAGGAGAACGGGGCUGAAAUGCCCGACUACUUCGUACGUACUCUUCUUACUAUCAUUCACGCGAUUUUGCCCCCAAGUGAUGGGGCUGAUAAGCAGCAGGGGAAGAAAGGCGGCGAUGGUGAUGGUGGUUCCAAGGGUCCGUUCAAGGCUUUGGGGAUUGCUGACAGUAAAGAGAGGGUGAAGGGCCUGGAGAGGGAGCUGGAGUUGGAGGUGCAACAGCGGAGGAGAGAGAGUGGAGAGUAUGAGAAGGAAGAGAGAGAUAGGGAUAGGGACAGGGACAGGGACAGGGAUAGAGAGAGGAGAGAGAGACACCGGGAUAGAUAUGAUAGGAGAAGUGACGGAGGGCAUAGGGAUAAAGAAAGAGACAGAGACAGAGAUAGACAUAGAGAUAGAGAUAGAGACAAGGAUCAUGAGGAGGAUGAUAGAAGGGGAAGGCAUAGAGAUCGGUACGAGAGAAGUCGAAGGGACGGCUAUGAAGAUCAUGAGGAUGACAGAAAAGACACUGGGGAUAGAAGGAAUGGUAGGUAUGAUUCCAAUGAACUGGAGCUAUAUAAGGUUUAUAGAGGGAAAGUUUCUAGAGUGAUGGACACGGGGUGCUUUGUUCAGUUGAGCGACAUUAGGGGUAAGGAGGGCCUGGUGCAUGUUUCACAGAUGGCGACCAGGAGGGUUGCUAAUGCUAAGGAAGUAGUGAAGCGGGAUCAGGAGGUUUAUGUGAAGGUGAUUUCCAUCUCCGGUCAGAAAUUGAGUCUUUCCAUGAGGGACGUGGAUCAGGACACUGGAAAAGAUUUGCUUCCACUGAAGAAGAGCGACGGUGAUGAUGCUUAUCGUACUAAUCCAACUUCAGGGUCAAGGGAUGGGCCUGUUGCCAGAACAGGUCUCUCUGGGAUUAGAAUUGUGGAUGAAGAUGAUGUGGCUCCAUCGAGGCGACCCUUGAAGAGGAUGAGCUCACCGGAGAGGUGGGAGGCGAAGCAAUUGGUGGCUUCAGGUGUGUUGAAGGUAAAUGAUCACCCAAUGUAUGAUGAUGAAGGGGAUGGAAUGCUGUAUCAGGAGGAGGGUGCUGAGGAAGAGCUUGAAAUUGAGCUAAAUGAGGAUGAACCUGCGUUUUUGCAAGGACAGACCAGAUAUUCUGUGGAUAUGUCACCGGUGAAGAUUUUCAAGAAUCCUGAAGGGUCCUUGAGUCGUGCUGCUGCACUGCAGUCUGCUCUUAUAAAGGAGAGGAGAGAAGUACGGGAGCAGCAACAGAGAACGAUGCUUGAUUCUAUUCCAAAGGAUCUUAAUCGUCCUUGGGAAGAUCCCAUGCCGGAGACAGGCGAGAGGCAUCUCGCUCAGGAGCUCAGAGGUGUCGGCUUGUCAGCUUACGAUAUGCCAGAGUGGAAGAAGGAUGCCUUUGGCAAAGCAUUGACUUUCGGGCAGAGGUCGAAGCUCUCCAUCCAGGAACAGAGGCAGAGUUUACCCAUUUACAAGUUGAAAAAAGAACUUGUCCAGGCCGUACAUGAAAAUCAAGUUCUUGUUGUUAUUGGUGAAACUGGUUCUGGAAAAACUACUCAGGUUACUCAGUAUCUGGCUGAAGCAGGUUACACCACAAGGGGUAAAAUUGGAUGCACUCAGCCUCGUAGGGUGGCUGCAAUGUCUGUUGCCAAGAGGGUGGCCGAAGAAUUUGGUUGUCGUUUAGGUGAGGAGGUUGGAUAUGCAAUUCGAUUCGAGGAUUGCACAGGACCAGACACUGUUAUUAAAUAUAUGACUGAUGGUAUGCUUCUUAGGGAGAUUCUCAUUGACGAGAACCUGUCCCAGUACUCAGUAAUCAUGCUUGACGAAGCACAUGAGAGGACUAUACACACUGAUGUCCUUUUUGGACUGCUUAAGCAGCUCGUGAAAAGGAGACCUGAUCUUCGGCUGAUAGUGACAUCUGCCACAUUGGAUGCGGAGAAGUUUUCUGGUUAUUUCUUCAACUGCAAUAUCUUCACCAUCCCCGGGAGAACAUUUCCAGUGGAGAUUCUUUACACCAAACAACCUGAAAGUGAUUAUUUGGAUGCAGCUCUUAUUACUGUAUUGCAGAUUCAUUUGACAGAACCCGAAGGCGACAUCCUACUUUUCCUGACUGGUCAGGAGGAGAUUGAUUUUGCUUGCCAAUCUCUUUAUGAGAGGAUGAAAGGAUUAGGCAAGAAUGUUCCUGAGCUGAUUAUUUUACCUGUAUAUAGUGCCUUGCCCAGUGAAAUGCAGUCAAGGAUAUUUGACCCAGCACCUCCGGGGAAGAGAAAAGUGGUUGUUGCGACUAACAUAGCUGAAGCAUCUCUCACAAUCGACGGCAUAUAUUAUGUUGUCGAUCCAGGGUUCGCAAAACAGAAUGUCUACAAUCCGAAGCAAGGUUUGGAUUCACUUGUCAUCACUCCUAUUUCACAAGCAUCCGCGAAGCAACGAGCUGGACGUGCUGGGCGUACGGGGCCUGGUAAAUGUUAUCGCCUCUAUACAGAGAGUGCGUACCGCAAUGAAAUGUCCCCUACCACCGUCCCUGAAAUCCAAAGGAUUAAUCUUGGUCUCACUACUCUUACAUUGAAGGCAAUGGGUAUAAAUGAUUUGUUAUCCUUUGAUUUCAUGGAUCCACCAUCGCCCCAGGCUCUGAUUUCUGCCAUGGAACAGCUCUAUAGUCUAGGAGCAUUGGAUGAUGAAGGGCUUCUCACAAAACUGGGAAGGAAAAUGGCAGAAUUUCCUCUGGAACCGCCCUUGUCGAAGAUGCUUCUUGCUAGUGUAGACUUGGGAUGCAGUGAUGAGAUUUUGACCAUCAUUGCUAUGAUUCAGACGGGAAACAUUUUCUACAGGCCUAGAGAGAAACAAGCCCAAGCAGAUCAGAAGAGGGCCAAGUUCUUCCAGCCGGAAGGAGACCAUUUGACUCUUCUUGCGGUUUAUGAGGCUUGGAAAGCAAAGAAUUUUUCUGGGCCAUGGUGCUUUGAGAACUUUGUUCAGUCUCGAUCCCUGAGGAGGGCUCAGGAUGUCAGGAAGCAGCUCCUCACCAUCAUGGACAAGUAUAAAUUGGAUGUUUUCGGUGCUGGAAAGAACUUCACAAAGAUAAGGAAAGCAAUCACAGCAGGGUUUUUCUUCCAUGCGGCGCGAAAAGACCCCCAAGAAGGUUACAGAACCUUGGUUGAGAAUCAACCAGUCUAUAUACAUCCAAGUAGUGCUCUCUUCCAGAGACAGCCUGACUGGGUUAUUUACCAUGAGCUUGUCAUGACCACAAAAGAGUAUAUGCGUGAGGUAACUGUUAUUGAUCCUAAGUGGCUUGUGGAAUUGGCGCCAAGAUUUUUCAAAGUUUCAGAUCCCACCAAGAUGAGCAAGCGGAAGCGUCAAGAACGUAUCGAACCUCUUUAUGACAGAUACCAUGAACCCAAUUCCUGGCGUCUCAGCAAAAGGCGUGCUUGACUUGUAUGAUUUGCAUUUCUGUCUGAGUAGUCCUCCAUUUUGCUUCAUAGUGUAAAUGUUUAUAUCUUACUUUUUGCAGAAGGUAAUUUGUAGAACUCCUUCGCUGAGGCAUAAUGAAUACAAUAACUUUUCUGGUUUGACAGGCAUCUUGUCUUUUUGUUUUCUGUUGCUUCCUAUUGAACUUUUUGAGUUGAACAACACAUUAAGCUUGUAUUAAUGAUAAUCCUCAAGGACGUACUGGUUUUGAUGAUUAAA
RNA transcript from Rhodamnia argentea, 4122 nucleotides. It is a transcript of the gene named probable pre-mRNA-splicing factor ATP-dependent RNA helicase DEAH5, with no coding region annotated. NCBI's taxonomy places the organism in Eukaryota, Viridiplantae, Streptophyta, Magnoliopsida, Myrtales, Myrtaceae. The transcript is spliced from 3 exons. The record is from RefSeq and is a predicted model, not a curated record.